AUAUUUGAGCCGGGGUGGUCGGGAUGUUCCGUUGGAAUGUACCCGAUCUGAGAACAGACCCGAAGAACCUGAUCCGGAUAAUCCCGGCGGAGGGAGACACAUGAAUACCUGUC
RNAcentral lists this non-coding RNA (113 nucleotides) under Spirochaetota bacterium. RNAcentral describes it as "Spirochaetes bacterium TPP sequence". It matches the Rfam family "TPP riboswitch aptamer (THI element)". Rfam says of the family: Vitamin B(1) in its active form thiamin pyrophosphate (TPP) is an essential coenzyme that is synthesised by coupling of pyrimidine and thiazole moieties in bacteria. The previously detected thiamin-regulatory element, thi box was extended, resulting in a new, highly conserved RNA secondary structure, the THI element, which is widely distributed in eubacteria and also occurs in some archaea. The record is from RNAcentral. Lineage: Bacteria; Pseudomonadati; Spirochaetota.